RNAcentral lists this ribosomal RNA (422 nucleotides) under uncultured prokaryote. Its description in RNAcentral is "bacterial SSU rRNA". It matches the Rfam family "Bacterial small subunit ribosomal RNA", at positions 355 to 796 of the family's 1533-position model. The record is from RNAcentral.
UUAGGAAUCUUCCACAAUGGGCGCAAGCCUGAUGGAGCGACGCCGCGUGAGGGACGAAGGCUCUAGAGUUGUAAACCUCUAAAAGGGGGACGAUAAUGACGGUACCCCUUGAAAAGCACCGGCUAACUCAGUGCCAGCAGCCGCGGUAACACUGAGGGUGCAAGCGUUAUCCGGAAUCACUGGGCGUAAAGGGCGUGUAGGCGGUCUGUUAAGUCCGAUGUUAAAGACUGGGGCUCAACCCCAGCACGGCGUUGGAUACUGGCGAACUAGACGGCUGGAGAGGCAAGUAGAAUUACCAGUGUAGCGGUGAAAUGCGUAGAUACUGGUAGGAAUACUCAUUGCGAAGGCAGCUUGCUGGACAGCACGUGACGCUAAGGCGCGAAAGUGUGGGGAGCAAACCGGAUUAGAUACCCCCGUAGUCC